This 496-nucleotide ribosomal RNA is filed under the name uncultured bacterium. RNAcentral's name for it is "partial 16S ribosomal RNA". It matches the Rfam family "Bacterial small subunit ribosomal RNA", at positions 28 to 523 of the family's 1533-position model. The record is from RNAcentral.
GAUGAACGCUAGCGGCAGGCCUAAUACAUGCAAGUCGAGGGGUAGAGCUAGCUUGCUAGCUUGAGACCGGCGCACGGGUGCGUAACGCGUAUGCAAUCUGCCUUACACUAAGGGAUAGCCCAGAGAAAUUUGGAUUAAUACCUUAUAGUAUAUUGAUGUGGCAUCACAUUAUUAUUAAAGAUUUAUUGGUGUAAGAUGAGCAUGCGUCCCAUUAGCUAGUUGGUAUGGUAACGGCAUACCAAGGCGAUGAUGGGUAGGGGUCCUGAGAGGGAGAUCCCCCACACUGGUACUGAGACACGGACCAGACUCCUACGGGAGGCAGCAGUGAGGAAUAUUGGUCAAUGGUCGCAAGACUGAACCAGCCAUGCCGCGUGCAGGAUGAAGCAUCUAUGGUGUGUAAACUGCUUUUGUACGGGAAGAAACACCUCUUCGUGAAGAGGCUUGACGGUACCGUGAGAAUAAGGAUCGGCUAACUCCGUGCCAGCCGCCGCGGUAA